GCGUUCUCGAGAUGGCUGCUGGGCUCCGCUCCCAGGAGCGCCCUGGCUGAGGGCCUGCCGGCGGGCGCUAAGCGCCACCCCUGCGUCCCGGCGCUAGCACGGGCUAUGGGCCGCAGUGGCGGGCCGUGGCCCUGCGCACGCCGUCUCUCGGGGCGGGGCACCGGGCCCCUUCCGGGGAUGGGCCCCGGCGCCCGCGUCGGCCUGGCCGUGCCCGGCCCCUCCCCGCUCGGGCGGGCGCUGCGCCGCGUCCCCGCCCGUCAGUUCGCCCGGCUCGGCUGGCCGCAGAAGGGGCCUGAGCGGCGGCACUGAAAGUUCUACGCCUGGAGGCGUCGGGAGGCGUCGGCGCUGCAGCUGGCCCGCGACGGGAACGGGGCGAAAAGGCGGCGGCACCAUGUUCUCCCUCAAGGCCCCCAGACCCACCUUCAGGUCCUACCUCCUGCCGCCGCUCCAGACUGACGAUAAGAUCAGUUCGGAACCGAAGAUUAAAAAACUGGAGCCAGUCCUUUUGCCAGGAGAAAUUGUCGUAAAUGAAGUCAAUUUUGUGAGAAAAUGCAUCGCCACAGACACAAGCCAGUACGAUUUGUGGGGAAAGCUGAUAUGCAGUAACUUCAAAAUCUCCUUUAUUACAGAUGACCCAAUGCCAUUACAGAAAUUCCAUUACAGAAACCUUCUUCUUGGUGACCAUGAUGUCCCUUUAACAUGUAUUGAGCAAAUUGUCACAGUAAAUGACCACAAGAGGAAGCAGAAAGUCCUAGGCCCCAACCAGAAACUGAAAUUUAAUCCAACAGAGUUAAUUAUUUAUUGUAAAGACUUCAGAAUUGUCAGAUUUCGCUUUGAUGAAUCAGGUCCCGAAAGUGCUAAAAAGGUAUGCCUUGCAAUAGCUCAUUAUUCCCAGCCAACAGACCUCCAGCUACUCUUUGCAUUUGAAUAUGUUGGGAAAAAAUACCACAAUUCAGCCAACAAAAUUAAUGGAAUUCCCUCAGGAGAUGGAGGAGGAGGAGGAGGAGGAGGAGGAGGAGAAGGUAAUGGAGGUGGUGGUGACAGCAGCCAGAAAACUCCACUCUUUGAAAUUUACUCAGAUUGGGACAGAGAAAUCAAGAGGACAGCUGCUUCCGGGUGGAGAGUUUGUUCUAUUAACGAAGGUUACAUGAUAUCCACUUGCCUUCCAGAAUACUUCGUAGUACCAAGUUCUUUAGCAGACCAAGAUCUAAAGAUCUUUUCCCAUUCCUUUGUUGGGAGAAGGAUGCCACUCUGGUGCUGGAGCCACUCUAACGGCAGUGCUCUCGUGCGAAUGGCCCUCAUCAAAGAUGCUCUGCAGCAGAGGAGGAUUGACCAGAGGAUUUGUAAUGCAAUAACUAAAAGUCACCCACAGAGGAGUGAUGUUUACAAGUCAGAUUUGGAUAAGACCUUGCCUAAUAUUCAAGAAGUACAGGCAGCAUUUGUAAAACUGAAGCAGCUAUGCGUUAAUGAGCCAUUUGAAGAAACUGAAGAGAAAUGGUUAUCUUCACUGGAAAAUACUCGAUGGUUAGAGUACAUAAGGGCCUUCCUUAAGCAUUCAGCAGAACUCGUAUACAUGCUGGAAAGCAAACAUGUCUCUGUAGUCCUGCAAGAGGAGGAAGGAAGAGACUUGAGCUGUUUAGUCGCUUCUCUUGUUCAAGUGAUGCUGGAUCCCUAUUUUAGGACAAUUGUUGGAUUUCAGAGUCUGAUACAAAAGGAGUGGGUCAUGGCAGGAUAUCAAUUCCUAGACAGAUGCAACCAUCUGAAGAGAUCAGAGAAAGAGUCUCCUUUAUUUUUGCUAUUCUUGGAUGCUACCUGGCAGCUGUUGGAACAGUACCCUGCAGCGUUCGAGUUCUCAGAAGCUUACCUGGCAGUGCUGUAUGACAGCACCCGGAUCUCACUGUUCGGCACCUUCCUGUUCAACUCCCCUCACCAGCGAGUGAAGCAAAGCACGGAAUUUGCAAUAAGCAAAAAUAUCCAGUUGGGUGAUGAGAAGGGCUUAAGAUUCCCCUCUGUUUGGGACUGGUCACUCCAGUUUACAGCAAAGGACCGCACCCUUUUCCAUAACCCCUUCUACAUUGGAAAGAGCACACCUUGUGUACAGAACGGCUCCAUGAAGUCUUUUAAACGGACAAAGAAAAGCUACAGCUCCACACUAAGAGGAAUGCCGUCUUCCUUAAAGAAUGGAAUCAUCAGUGACCAAGAAUUACUUCCAAGGAGAAAUUCACUGAUAUUAAAACUAAAGCCAGAUCCACCUCAGCAAACCAACAGCCAGAACAGUGAUAUGGAGCAGUAUUUUAGAGAAUGGUUUUCCAAGCCAGUUGACCUGCACGCUGUUAUUCUGCCACGUGUCUCUGGAACACACUUAAAACUGUGGAAACUGUGCUACUUCCGCUGGGUUCCCGAGGCCCAGAUCAGCCUAGGCGGCCCCAUCACAGCCUUUCACAAGCUCUCCGUCCUGGCCGAUGAAGUCGAUGUGCUGAGCAGGAUGCUGCGGCAGCAGUGCAGUGGCCCCCUAGAGGCCUGCUAUGGGGAGCUGGGCCAGAGCAGGAUGUACUUCAGAGCCAGUAGCCCCAACGACGCCUCAGGGACGCCAGAGUUUCUCUCCUCCUCAUUCCCAUUUUCUCCUGUAGGGAAUCUGUGCAGACGAAGCAUUUUAGGAACGCCAUUAAGCAAAUUUUUAAGUGGGGCCAAAAUAUGGUUGUCUACUGAGACGUUAGCAAAUGAAGACUAAAAUAGGAUGUUUUCUGAACAUUUUGAGGGAAGCCGUAAACUUUUUUCCUCCAGAUUCAAAUUGCUAACCUAGGCAUUUGAAGCUCUAAUAACUUUAUAUGUAAGAAUGAUAGUUGGAAUUUGCACUAAUAUUUAAAAACAUGUUGAAUCAUGCUUUUUUUCACACUUACUGUAAAACAUAUAAAUCUUGUUUCUGUCCUCUGUCAUUACAGGUCUGGCUCUUGUAACUGUGACCAGACUGUUCGUUUCUCUGUCUGCUACAUUUGUGUCUCCAUCCAUUUUUCCUACCGCCUCCUGAAGGCUAUCUGAUAGUCGCAUUAGCAACGCCAAGCAGCAAACAGGAAAGAUAAGAAAUUCGCGUUUUGUAUCAUUUUCAGUUACAUCUGAUAAGACCUCCAGCAGGCUUUAGGAAGUGUUCAUAUAUUUUUCCAGUCACUUUGUCAUUUCGAAUUGAACUCACCUGAUGAAGGUUCAAUGUUCUGUGGCCAGAAUUUGUUUUAGAUCACCUUCUUGGAGACCUUAGAUCACUGUGUUUUGAAAUCAGGAGUUUGCUUUUAACUUCAUAGGGCUAACUUUAAAAUGAUAUGCACUGCUAACUCUAAAGCAUUUGCUGUAGAUAAUUAAACUUAGAAGUGCCUUUAACAUUAAGAUACAAAUUAUUACAGAAGAAACUAUAAUUUUACUUCUAAAAUUGGGGUGUGAAAAUCCCAUUGCAUAUCGGAAAUAGGCUUUUCUUAUUAAGCUUCAUAACCAGGAGUCCCCAAAGUCCUGUUCCUCUGAAAGCAACUGGGGAGUGGCCUGUGGGAUGCCGAUUCCUCUGAGAGGUUAGUGGUGUAGGCAGGAGAGUGCACCUUCAGAAUCAAGGCUUGCUGGGAGGUGUGCUGGGCUCGGCCAUCAGUCUUUCUAACAUGGUAAACUAUUGCCGGCACUUCUUCUUGGAAAUAACUAAUGAGGUCAUGAGUUGGGCGCCUGCACAGAUACUCUCCUUCUCUCAUAGCUCCUAAUGCUUAGGAAUACAGGAUAAAUAAAAAUGGAUUCUCUCAGAACACUGCCAUUUGAAUAAAUAGGGAGAGAAGUGCUCCCCAACCCUCCAACUUUUGACAGCAGUGUUGAGAAUGAGCAGACAGUUUGCUGGAUCUGAAACUCCCUAGUUUCCAAACUGUGUGACAGGAGCCUGCCCACCAGGGUAGAGGGCAAAGCUGAAGCUUACAGCAGUGAGACGGGGGGCACCACCUCCCCCACACUCCUUAUUCCCUGCUGAAAACAUGGAUGCUUUCAAAUUUGUUCAUUUCUUAAACUGCCAUCCUAAGAUACGGAAAAUCGUUAUAGUACAACUGUUUGUCGUUAUCAGUAUGAAAUCAUCUGCAGGAACACGGUGAUGGAAGAUGUGAAGGUGUCUUCUCCAUUCCGUACUUCUGUGUCAUCCAUGGGACGUUUCUGCCUGCCCUCUAAUCACAGCUUCUGCAGUUCGUCCAACCAGAUCAUCUGCUUAUGUGAAAGGCGAUCACUGGGGCCUUUAACUUCCACCAGCUGUAAGAGAGAUUCUUAAAAGUUAGUAUCCUACUGAAACUGAAAAGCCAUCCAAAGUAAGUUACUGUACUUUUCACUGACAACGAUUUAAAUGGCUCUUCUGCUUUCUCACUGUCUUUGUAACACAAAUAUACAAAUGCUCCUUCACUUAGAGUGGUUCACCUUAGGAUUUUUUGACUUUAAAAUGGUGCAAAAGUGACGCAUUCAAUAGAAACCAUGCUGAGUUUUGAUCUUUUCCCAGUAUGAUACUUGAUGCUGGGCAGCAGCAGUGAGGCACAGCUCCCAGUCAGCCACACGAUCAUGAGGGGAACCAGUACUCUACGGUGUGCAGAGAACUUGAUGAUUCUGCCCAGCUGUAGGCUGAUGCAUGUGUUCUGAGCACAUUGAAGGUAAGCUGAGCUAAGCUAUGAGGUUUUGGUGGGGAUAAGUAUGUUAAACGCAUUUUCAACUUAAAUUUUUCUGUUGAUGUGUAGGAUUUAUCAGGGCAUAUCUCUAUCACAAGUUGAGGACCAUCUGUAGCUAAGAAAUUUAUUCAGAAAUGUUUCUAUUCUAUAGAAACUACACAGUUCUUCACAGAAGAACAGUUAAGUGCAUUCUUAGUAUAGCAAACGAAAAAUUGUUUUAAGGCAUCUGGGUUUUACUUUGCUACUUAAAACCUUCCAGUUACCUGUUACAUUUUCAAUUAGAUCUCAACUUCUUGCCAUGACCAGUCUCUUCCCUACCCAAGGCCCUCACUUCCACUUGGUACUUGCUGUUCCCACUGCCUGGGACAUUUCGCCCUGUUCUUGGCAUGCCUGACCUCUUACCUUUAAAUGCUCAGCUUAAACUCAUCUUGAGAGGUCACAGCUCUAAGUAGAUCCUCCCUAAGCAUUUCUUUCAUGGCGUUCAUAACAUAAAAAUAUGUACAUGUCAUCUUCAUAAUGGCAGCAAUUGUGUGUUGUCCACUGCACACUAGUAGAAGACAAUAAAAACUAUCCUAAAGUGUAGAAAAAACAUAUUUUAAAUACAGCAUUCAGCAGCCUAACAGACAUUUAAUUAGAGUCCCCAAAGGAACAGAAGAAAAAAACAGCCAAAGUUUUUCCAGAUUUGGAGAAAACUAUAAAUUUAAGGAUUCAAGAAAAUCAGUGAAUCCCAGCCCCCAAAUGUAACAGGACCCUAGGAAAUAUCAGACCUGUAUAAUCAGCAAUAGAGGGGAUACAGUCAAAGCAGCAAGAAUGUAUUUUUAUUUUCAUUUUCAUUUUUCUAAACAUAUCUUUAGGUCUACCAUAUUGGCUUUUUUUAAUAUAUUAUUGUACUUUAAGUUCUGGGGUACAUGUGCAGAUCUUGCAGGGUUGUUGCAUACGUACACACAUGCCAUGGUGCUUUGCUGUCUCCAGCCCCCGAAUCACCUACAUCAGGCAUUUCUCCCAGUGUUAUCCCUCCUCAACCUCCCCGCAGUCCCUCCCCUGUCCCUUCCUUGUCCCUCCCCCAGCCCCCAACCCCCCAACAUGCCCCAGUGUGUGAUGUUCCCCUCCCUGUGUCCAUGUGUUCUCACUGUUCAACACCUGCCUAUGAGUGAGAAUAUGAGGUGUUCAGUUUUCUGUUCUUUUGUCAGUUUGCUGAGAAUGAUGGUUCCAUGUUUGAUCCAUGUUCCUACAAAGGACACGAACUCAUCGUUUUUUUGGCUGCAUAGUAUUCCAUGGUGUAUAUGUGCCACAUUUUCAUUGUCCAGUCUAUUAUCAAUGGGCAUUUGGGUUGGUUGCAGGUCUUUGCUAUUGUAAACAGUGCUGUGGUGAACAUACAUGUGAAUGUGUCUUUAUAAUAGAAUGAUGUAUAGUCCUUUGGAUAUAUACCCAGUAAUGGGAUUACUGAGUCAAAUGGAAUUUCUAUAUCUAGGUCCUUGAGGAAUCGCCACACUGUCUUCCACAAUGGUUGAACUAAUUUACACUCCCACCAGCAGUGUAAAAGCGUUCCUAUUUCUCCACAUCCUCUCCAGCAUCUGUUGUCUCCAGACUUUUUAAUGAUCGCCAUUCUAACUGGCGUGAGAUGGUAUCUCAAUGUGGUUUUGAUUUGCAUUUCUCUAAUGACCUAAUGCUCUAAUGAUGAUGAGAAUUUUUCAUAUAUUUCUUGGCCUCAUAUAUGUCUUCUUUUGAAAGUGUCUGUUCAUAUCCUAUGCCCACUUUUGAAUGAGUUUUUUUGUUUUUUUCUUGUAAAUCUGUUGUAAAUUCUGGAUAUUAGCCCUUUGUCAGAUGGGUAGAUUACAAAAAUUUUUUCCCAUUCUGUUGGUUGCCAGUUCACUCUAAUGAUUGUUUCCUUUGCUGUACAGAAGCUCUGGAGUUUAGUUAGAUCCCAUUUGUCUAUUUUGACCUUUGCUGCCAUUGGCUUUUGGUGUUUUAGUCAUUAAGUCCUUGCCUGUGCCUAUGUCUUGAAUGGUAUUAUCCAGGUUUUCUUCCAGGGUUUUUAUGGUGUUAGGUCUUAUGUUCACAUCUUUAAUCCUUCUGGAGUUAAUUUUAGUAUAAGGUGUAAGGAAGGGGUCCAGUUUCAGCUUUUUGCACAUGGCUAGCCAGUUUUCCCAACACCGUUUAUUAAAUAGUCAAUCCUUUCCCCAUUGCUUGUUUUUGUCAGGUUUGUCAAAGAUCAUAUGGUUGUGGAUGUGUGGCAUUGCCUCCAAAGCCUCUGUUCUGUUCCAUUGGUCUAUAUCUCUGUUUUGGUACCAGUAUCAUGCUGUUUUCAUUACUGUAGCCUUGUAGUACAGCUUGAAGUCAUGUAGCAUGAUGCCUCCAGCUUUGUUCUUUUUGCUUAGGAUUGUCUUGGCUAUGCAGGCUCUCUUUUGGUUCCCUAUGAAGUUUAAGGUGAUUUUUUACAGUUCUGUGAAGAGGGUCAUAGGUAGCUUGAUGGGGAUAGCAUGGAAUCAUUAUAUUAUUUUGGGCAGCAUGGCCAUUUUCACAAUAUUGAUUCUUUCUAAACAUAAGCAUGGAAUGUUUUUCCAUCUGUUGUAUCCUUUUUCCUUGAGCAGUGGUCUGUAGUUCUCCUUGAAGAGGUCCUUUAUAUCCUCUGUUAGUUGUAUUCCUAGGUAUUUUAUUCUCUUUGUAGCAAUUGUGAAUGGCAGUUCGCUCUUGAUUUGGCUCUCUGUUAGUCUGUUUUUGGUGUAUAGGAAUGCUUGUGAUUUCUGCACAUUCAUUUUGUAUCCUGAGACUUUGCUGAAGUUGCUUAUCAGUUUAAGGAGAUUUUGGGCUGAGAUGAUGGGGUCUUCUAAAUAUUCAAUCAUGUCAUCUGCAAACAGAGACAAUUUUACUUCCUCCUUUCCUAGUUUGAAUACCCUUUCUUGCCUGAUUGCUCUGGCUAGAACUUCCAGUACUAUAUUGAAUAGGAGUGGUGAGAGAGGGCAUCCUUGUCUAGUGCCGGAUUUCAAAGGGAAUGCUUCCAGUUUUUGCCCGUUCAGCAUGAUACUGGCUGUGGGUUUCUCGUAAAUAGCUUUUAUUAUUUUGAGAUACAUUCCAUCAAUACCUAGUUUCUUGAGACUUUUUAGCAUAAAGGGCUGUUGAAUUUUGUUGAAGGCCUUCUCUGCAUACAUUGAGAUAAUCGUGGUUUUUCUCUUUGGUUCCGUUUAUAUGGUGGAUUACAUUUAUAGACUUGCGUAUGAUGAACCAGCCUUGUAUCCCCCAGAUGAAGCCUACUUGAUCAUGGUAGAUAAACUUUUUGAUGUGCUGUUAAAAUCGGUUGCCGGUAUUUUAUUGAAGAUUUCUGCAGCUAUGUUGAUUAUGGAUAUUGGCCUGAAGUUUUCUUUUUUUGUUGAGUCUCUCCCGGGUUUUGGUAUCAGGAUGAUGUUGGUCUUAUAAAAUGAUUUGGGAAGGAUUCCCUCUUUUUGGAUUGUUGGAAUAGUUUCAGAAGGUGUGGUACCAGCUCCUCUUUGUACGUCUGGUAGAAUUCAGCUAUGAACCCACCUGGACCUGGACUUUUUUUUGGUUGGAGGCUAUUAAUUGCUGCCUCAACUUCAGCCCUUGUCUACUGGUCUAUCCAGGGUUUCAGCUUCUUCCUGGUUUAGGCUUGGGAGGGUGCAAGUGUCCAGGAAUUUAUCCAUUUCUUCCAGGUGUACUGGUUUAGGUGCAGAGUUGUCUGUAGUAAUCUCUGAUGGUAGUUUAUAUUUCUGAGGAAUUGGUAGUGAUAUCCCCUUUAUCAUUUUUUAUUGUAUCUGAUUCUUUCCCUUUUUAUUAAGCUGGCUAGCAGUCUAUUUUGUUGAUCUUUUCAAAAAAACAGUUCUUGGAUUUGUUGAUUUUCUUGUAGGGUUUUUUGUGUCUCUUACCUCUUUUCAUUCUGCUCUGUUCUUAGUUAUUUCUUGUCUUCUGCUUGCUUUUGACAUUUUUGGAUCUUGCUCUUCUAGCUCUUUCAAUUUUGAUGAUAGGGUAUCGAUGUUUGAUCUUUUCUUGCUUCUCGUGGGCAUUUAGUGCUAUAAAUUUCCCACUAGACACGGCUUUAAAUGUGUCCCAGAGACUGUGGUACAUUAUGUCUUCAUUCUCAUUGGUUUCAAAGAGCAUGUUUAUUUCUGCCUUCAUUUCAUUGUUUAUCCAGUCAUCAUUCAGAUGCCAGUUGUUCAGUUUCCAUUUAGUUGUAUGUUUCUUAAUCCUGAGUUCUAAUUUGAUUGCUCUGUGGUCUGAGAGACUGGUUGUUAUGAUUUCUGUUCUUUUGCAUUUGCUGAGGAGUGCUUUAUUUCCAAUUAUGUGGUCAGUUUUAGAGUAAGUGCGAUAUGGUGCUGAGAAGAAUUAUAUUCUGUGGAUUUGGUGUGGAGAGUUCUGUAGAUGUCUGUUAGAUCUGCUUGGUCUACAUCUGCAUUCAAGUCCUGGAUAUCCUUGUUGAUUCUUUGUCUCAUUGAUCUGUCUAAUAUUGACAGUGGAGUGUUAAACUCUCCCACUAUUAGUAGGUCGUUAAGAACUUGCUUUAUGGCCGGGCGCGGUGGCUCACGCCUGUAAUCCCAGCACUUUGGGAGGCCGAGGCGGAUGGAUCACGAGGUCAAGAGAUCGAGACCAUCCUGGUCAACAAGGUGAAACCCCGUCUCUACUAAAAAUGCAAAAAUUAGCUGGGCAUGGUGGUGCGUGCCUGUAGUCCCAGCUACUCAGGAGGCUGAGGCAGGAGAAUUGCCUGAACCCAGAAGGCAGAGGUUGCAGUGAGCCAAGAUCGUGCCAUUGCACUCCAGUCUGGGUAACAACAGUGAAACUCCGUCUCAAAAAAACAAAAAAACUUGCUUUAUGUAUCUGGAUGCUUCUGUAUUGGGCGCAUAUAUAUUUAGGAUCGUUAGCUCUUCUUGUUGCAUUGAUCCUUUUACCAUUAUGUAAUACCCUUCUUUGUCUUUUUGUUCUGUUGGUUUAACGUCCGUUUUAUCAGAGAUUAGGAUUGCAACUCCUCUGCUUUUUUUUCUCUCCAUUUCAGCAGCCGGAAUUUUUUAAUGCCAGAGGAAAAAAAGGUUUUUUCAUUGGAAACCAUGCUAGUUAGACUAAUAUUAGUCUAAAUAUAGUAGACAGAUAUUUUUCAGUACUUUAAAAAUAUUAGUCAACAUAGAAUUCUUUGCCCAGAGAAAAUAUCUUUCCAAAACAAAGGUGAAAUAUAGACUAAGACAUACAAAAACUAAAUACAGUCAUUCCUCAGUAUCCAUGGAGGACUGAUUCAAAGAACUCCUCUGAAUCCAAAAUCCACAUGGUCAAGUCCCUGGUAUAAAAUGGCACAGCAUUUUCAUAUUCUAUGCACAUCUUUUCAUAUAUUUUAAAUCAACUCUAGAUUAUUUAUAAUACCUAAUACAAUAUAAAUGCUAUGAAAAUAGUUGUUAUGCUGUAUUUUUAUUUAUUGUUGUAGUUACUUUUUAUUGUUUUUCUUUUUUCCAGUUAUUUUCAAUCCAUGGUUGGUUAUAUCUACAGAAGCAGAAACCAUGGAAACAGAGGGCUAACUACUGUAAUUCGUUACCAGCAGAACUUCAAGAAAUGUUAAAGGAAAUUUUUUUUUUUGAGACAAGGUCUUAAUUCUAUUAUUGGUAUGAUCUCGGUUCACUGCAGCCUUGACCUCCCAGGCUCAAGCAAUUCUCCCACCUCAGCCUCCCAAGUAGCUGGGACUACCAAUGCACACCACCACACCUGGCUAAUUUCUUUAUUGUUUUGUAGAGAUGUGGUUUCACUGUGUUGCCCAAGCUGUUCUCCAACUCCUGAGCCCAAGUGUCUACCCACCUCGGCCUCACAAAGUGCUGGGAUUACAGGCAUGAAAGGAAAUCCUGCAAGCAGGAGAGUAAGAUCACACAGAAAUCUGGAUCUAUACAAAAAAGCACUGGAAAUGCUAUCUGCAUGAGUACAUAGAGACUCUUACUAAUCAAUGGUAGAAAGCAAAAAGAAUAUGUUACAGAAUGUCCAACACACAGAAGUAAAACAUAUGAAAAUACCACAAAGGCUAGGAGGGAAGAUAUUACUGAAAGGUUCUUUUUACUCUGUAUUAAAAUGUGGAUCACUUGAAGGGUAGCUAAGUUUAAGAUAUAUACUGUACAUAUUAAUGCCACCACUUACACACAAUGAACAGUUACAGUUAACAAGCCAACAAAGCUAUAAAAUGCAAUCUUUAAAAAUAAGGCAGGGCCAGGCACUGUGGCUCACACCUGCAAUCCCAGCACUUAGAGAGACCCUGGCAGGUGGACUGCUUGAGCCCAGGAAUUCAAGAUCAGCCUGGACAACAUGGUGGAAUCCCAUCUCUCUCUAAAAAAUACAAAACUACAAAAUUAGCCAGGUAUGGUGGUGUGCGCCUGUGGUCCCAGCUACUCAAGGAAAAGACGGUUUCAGGAUUUAAAGCUAAGGAUAUGAAUAACCACAUUAAAUGUAAAUGUUCCAAACACCCCAUUAAAAGGCAGAAGUUAAGUUGGAUUCAAAAGUAAGACCCAACUCUAUGAUGCCUCUAAGAGAGAUGCCUAUAACCCACGUUAAAAACAAGAUAAAACAGGUCAAAGUAAAAGAACAGAAAAAUGUAUCAUGUUAACACUAACCAAGAGGAGGCUGAAGUGCCUACAUGUUAACAGUAUUGGGCAAAGUUGAUUUCAGAGCAAAGAUCAUCAGGAAUAAAGGGGGGGGGGGUCAUCAAGAGGACAUGCCAGUCCUAAAAGUUAAUGCAUCUUAUAAUAGACCUUCAAAAUACUUGAAUAAAAUAUUGAUAGAAAUGCGAGAAGGAAUACACAAAUCGGCCAGGCGCAGAAUGCUCCCACCACUUUGGGAGGCCAGGAGCCCAGGAGUUUGAGACCAGCCUGGGCAACAUUGUGGAACCCCAUCUCUACAAAAAACUUUUAAAAAUCAGCUGGGCAUGAUGGUGCAUGCCUGUAGUUCUGGCUACUCAAGAGGCUGAGGCAGAAGAAUUGCUUGAGCCUGGGAGGUCAAGGCUGCAGUGAUCCAAGAUCACACCACCACUACACUCCAACCUAGGUGACAUGAGACUCUGUCUCAAAAAAUAGAAAUAAAGAAAUAAAUGAAUCCACGGUUUUAAUCAGAUUGUCAAUAUUCUUCUCAAUAAUUUAUAGAACAAGUAAAUAAGAAAUCAGUAAGGACAGACAACUUAAACAACACUAUCAAGCAACUUGACCUGACUGACAUUUAAAAAUACUGCCCACAACAAAUGCUGAACACAUUCUUUUCAAGUACAAACAGAAUAUUCACCAGGGAAAACCAUAUUCUGGACCAUAAAACAAGUCUCAAUAAAUUUAAUAGGAUUCAGGUCACACAAAAUAUGUCCUCUGACUACAAUGGAGUUAAAUUACAAAUCAAUAGCAGAAAGAUACCUGCAAAUCUCUUAAGUGUUUGGGAAUGUAAAUGAUUGACUUGUAAAUAAGCUGAGGAUCAAAGAAGAGUCCAAAGGGAAAUCAGAAGGGGUGAACUGAAUGAAAAUGAAAACAUAUUAAAUUUGCGAGGUUCAGAUAAAGCAGCACUGAGAGGCAAAUUUGGAGCACUAGCAAACUAUUAGAAAAGGAGGUCUCAAAGCAAUAACCAUAGCUUCUACCUUAAAAAACUAGGGGACAAAAGAACAAAUGAAAUCAAAAGCUGAUUCUUUGAGAAAAUCAGGAAAAUUGAUAAACCUCCUGCCAGACUCAUCAAGAAAAAAAGAGAAAAGACACAAAUUACCAAUAUCAGGAACAAAAGCAUGAUAGAGUUUACAGAUAUUAAAAUGCAUUAAGAAACAAAUACAGGGUUGGGCGGGUGGCUCACCCCUGUAAUCCCAGCACUUUGGGAUGCUGAGGCAGGUGGAUCACCUGAAGCCAGUAGUUCAAGACCAGCCUGGCCAACAUGACAAAACCUCAUCUCUACUAAAACACACACACACACAAAAUUACCCAGGCAUGGUGGUGCACAGCUGUAAAUCCCAGCUACUAGGGAGUCUAAGGCACAAGAAUCACUUGAACCCAGGAGGUGGAGGUUGCAGUGAGGCUACUGCACUCCGGCCUGGGUGACACAGUGAGACUCUGUCUCAAAAAAAAAAAGAAGAGAAAAACAAAUAUGAACAACUUUAAGCCAAUAUUUAAA
Non-coding RNA from Callithrix jacchus (white-tufted-ear marmoset), 12770 nucleotides. The record is from RefSeq and is a predicted model, not a curated record. Lineage: Eukaryota; Metazoa; Chordata; Mammalia; Primates; Cebidae.